GACGUAGGGCGCGAGCGUUGUCCGGAUUUAUUGGGCGUAAAGAGCGUGUAGGCGGCCAGGUAGGUCAGCUGUGAAAACUCGAGGCUCAACCUCGAGACGUCGGUUGAAACCACCUGGCUAGAGUCCGGAAGAGGAGAGUGGAAUUCCUGGUGUAGCGGUGAAAUGCGCAGAUAUCAGGAAGAACACCCGUGGCGAAGGCGGCUCUCUGGGACGGUACUGACGCUGAGACGCGAAAGCGUGGGGAGCGAACAGG
Molecule: ribosomal RNA, 253 nt
Filed under: uncultured bacterium
Lineage: Bacteria
Description: partial 16S ribosomal RNA
Rfam family: Bacterial small subunit ribosomal RNA
Source: RNAcentral